UGGAGGUCCUCUCUGGUGAGUUUCAGAUCCGCGGUCCAUGGGCCCAUCCCCACCCGCUCCUCCACACCCACGGUCUGGGGGUCCCUGCGGACGUCACAGAUCCCGCUCUGGCCCCUCGCACCUGCGAUCUCAGGGUCGCCCUGAGAUCGGGAUGUCGGGCGCUCCGCCGAAGGGUCUGAGUCCGCAUCCACCGCCAGUCAAAAUCGCCCCGAGGCCGACCCCGUCCGGGCCUUUCUGCCUUCCUUCUCUUCCCCGUCUCCCCGCGCCCCGACUCGCGACGUGGACUCUCGCCCUCCGCGCCCCGCAUCGCCCCUCUCGGCCCCUCAGGGCAGCCCCGGAACGCCGCGCCCUCCCCUGUCCAUCCUGGGCCUCCUUCGGCCGGGACCUGCCUCUCGCUCCCCUUCCCGGUCACCGCCUCAGAAAGGUCCUUGAGCCCUGGGCUGGAGCACAUCUAUCCCAGGGAGACCUUAGUGUUCAUGGAUUUGUAGAAUUGGCUUCUCUGCAGAUAUUUGAAGAUUCCUCCUCUUUGGGAUUUACCUAAUGACAAGGAAAGGAUGUCCCUAAGACAUUUCUUGAUGGCUUUAUCUUGAUUGGGACCCCUGUUAAUCAGAUUUGUCCUUUGGAUUACAACACUGAUGAGGUUGUCAACGGCAUUAAGAGAGAGUUCACCAUCAGAAGGAUGCAUUUCCUGGAAAGAGAAAGAAGCUCUGAACUCUGGAAUGUUGUGGUAGCAUCCUCACUUUGCCUCCUGUUGCUUGGACUGUGCGUGAGUGAAAACCCAGAAGAAGAUGGCAGGUGAUCUGGUUACAAUGGAAUCACAGGAAUCAGUGACCUUCGAGGAUGUAGCUGUAGACUUUACUCAAGAAGAGUGGGCCCUAUUGAACUCAUCCCAGAGAAAACUCUUCAGAGAUGUGAUGCUAGAGAAUAUUAGUCAUCUGGUCUCAAUUGGCAAUCAACUCCACAAAUCAGAUGUGAUUUCCCAUGCGGAACAAGAAGAGCAACUUUCAAGAGAAGGGUUAGGUUUUCUGCAAGGCCAGAGUCCAGUCAUUUCAGGUAGAGAAGAUGAUCUGAAAAAACAAGAAAUGAUAUCCAUGCAACAUAUCUGCAAGAAGGACACAUCUUUAAUCUGUGCAAUGAGAUCUCACACUCAAGAGGAUCCUGUGCAAUGCAAAGAUUUCAGAGAAAAAUUUACUGAAAUCUUAACAUUGACUCAAUAUGUGAUACCUCAAGUGGGAAAGAAACCCUGUAUCAGUGAAGAUUUUGGAAAAGCUAUCAGUUACUUGUCAUCCUUUAAUCUACAUAAGCAAAUUCAUGCUAGAAGUAAAUCCCAUGACCGUCAUCAACAUAGGAAUACGUUUAUUCAAAGUCCUGCCCUGAGAGAACACCACAGUACUCAAACUGGUGAGAAAACAUUUGAAUGUCAUGUAUGUAGAAAAGCCUUUGGUAAAAGUUCUAACCUUAGACGACAUGAGAUGAUUCACACUGGAGUGAAACCACAUGGAUGUCAUCUUUGUGGGAAAUCCUUCACUCAUUGUUCUGACCUUAGAAAACAUGAGAGAAUUCACACUGGAGAGAAAUUAUAUGGAUGUCAUCUGUGUGGGAAAGCUUUCAGUAAAAGUUAUAACCUUAGGCGACAUGAGAUGAUUCACACUAGAGAGAAACCAAGUGAAUGUCAUCUAUGUGGGAAGGCCUUCGCUCAUUGUUCUGACCUUAGAAAACACGAGAGAACUCACUUUGGAGAGAAACCCUAUGGGUGCAAUCUAUGUGGUAAAACAUUCAGUAAAACUUCUUACCUUAGACAACAUGAGAGGACUCACAAUGGAGAGAAACCAUAUGAAUGUCAUCUAUGUGGGAAAGCCUUCACUCACUGUUCUCACCUUAGAAAACAUGAGAGAACUCAUACAGGGGAGAAGCCAUACGAAUGUCAUGUAUGUGGAAAAGCCUUCACUGAAUCAUCUGUUCUUAGACGACAUGAGAGAACUCACACUGGAGAGAAACCAUAUGAAUGUCAUCUAUGUUGGAAAGCCUUCACUGAUUCUUCUGUCCUUAAGCGACAUGAGAGAACUCACACUGGAGAAAAACCGUAUGAAUGUCAGCUGUGUGGGAAAGCCUUCAAUCACUCUUCUGUCCUUAGACGACAUGAAAGAACUCACACUGGUGAGAAGCCGUAUGAAUGCAAUAUAUGUGGUAAAGCCUUCAAUAGAAGUUAUAACUUUAGAUUGCAUAAGAGAAUUCACACUGGAGAGAAACCAUAUAAAUGUUAUAUAUGUGGGAAAGCCUUCAGUAAAUAUUUUAACCUUAGACAACACGAGAGAACUCACACGAUAAAGGUAAUAAAUGUGGAAGGGUCACCACCCAGAGCUUCAAACUAUAAACACUCUUAAGGAAGGAACACUAUGUUUAUAUUCAAUGUAUAAGAGCCUUUAUUCAUCCUUAUUACUUCACUCAAUUAAAGUUACUUCAAAGUUGAUAGAAUUCAUAUGUUUGUCACUAUAUAUUAUAACAAAACCUUUGGCAGUAGACUCACCUGGGAGAAGUGAAACUAUAAAUGAAAUGAAUGUGGAAGAAUCUUCAUCCACAGCUGUAAAUGUUAAACUAAAUGGGUAAAUCACAUGUCAGAGAAAUUCUAUGUCUGCAGUCAGUGUAGAAAUACCACCAGUUACAAUUUGUCCUUUAAAUAAAUAAGUGAACUGCACAGGAGAGAAAUUUUAGAUCUGUAAUCACUGCAUACUCUCACACUCAUUUAACUUAGCACCAUUCUUGGCAUGCACGAGAAAGAUUCUGUGUCAGGUAACUGCUAAAAACGAAAUAAGUGGGACCAAGUUAGGACAUGAAGAAGUGUAAAGACAUUUGGGAUAACCCUUUUCUAGGAUGUCUAAUAUACUUAUGCUAAUUUAUGUAAUGACAAAUUACCAUCCCUCCUAGUGAUGCGUAAGACACCUGGAAAGCUGGGAGAGCAGAAAGAAGCCAAGAUAAUCUGAUCUUGCCCAUAUUCCCCUGUCAUGUCAUUCCCCUGCCAUGAAUUCGCAAAUCACCAAAUGGGAAUGAGGCCCAUGAGUUCCGGCCCCUCCCAUAUACAAAUGCAGAAGGCUAGGCAAGAAAAAAUGGGAGCUUCUCUUCUGCCAGGAUAAUAAGAGAAGGCCUGCUCCUUGGUACUCAUUUGAACAUGACUAAUAUAUAUGUUUCACAAGUGGCAAUACUAAGAACACAGAUGUUUAUUAAUUUGUCCUCUUUUUCUAAGGAAUAAAUGGACUCAAUGUGAAGGGAUAGAAAAACAUAUUCUGCAAAAAUAGAAAUCAUGGGAGCAGAGGUAGCUAUACUAUCAGACAAAAUAGACUUACUCAAAAAACUGAGUUCAUCAAAAGGCUAUAACAUUUGUAAAUAAGCAAACUGAAAUACACAGUGACUCUCCCCUACAUCUCUGAGACUAUUUCCUUAUGUGGGAAUUAGACCCAAUGAAAGCUGAGGGGUAAAAGGAAGUGACAGUGCAUUGAAGUAUAAUUUAACUUGUUUUCUGUUACUAUAAUUAAAAUUUUUUUCCAGGC
Non-coding RNA from Sus scrofa (pig), 3545 nucleotides. NCBI's taxonomy places the organism in Eukaryota, Metazoa, Chordata, Mammalia, Artiodactyla, Suidae. The record is from RefSeq and is a predicted model, not a curated record.